UACGUAGGGGGCUAGCGUUGUCCGGAAUCAUUGGGCGUAAAGCGCGUGUAGGCGGUCCGGUAAGUCCGCUGUGAAAGUCGGGGGCUCAACCCUCGGAUGCCGGUGGAUACUGUCGGGCUUGAGUACGGAAGAGGCGAGUGGAAUUCCUGGUGUAGCGGUGAAAUGCGUAGAUAUCUGGAGGAACACCCGUGGUGCAGACGGCUUGCUGGACCGUGACUGACGCUGAGGCACGAAAGCGUGGGGAGCGAACGGG
RNAcentral lists this ribosomal RNA (253 nucleotides) under uncultured bacterium. RNAcentral describes it as "partial 16S ribosomal RNA". It matches the Rfam family "Bacterial small subunit ribosomal RNA", at positions 524 to 776 of the family's 1533-position model. The record is from RNAcentral.